UUGAAGAGUUUGAUCAUGGCUCAGAUUGAACGCUGGCGGCAGGCCUAACACAUGCAAGUCGAGCGGUAGCACAGAGAGCUUGCUCUCGGGUGACGAGCGGCGGACGGGUGAGUAAUGUCUGGGAAACUGCCUGAUGGAGGGGGAUAACUACUGGAAACGGUAGCUAAUACCGCAUAACGUCGCAAGACCAAAGUGGGGGACCUUCGGGCCUCAUGCCAUCAGAUGUGCCCAGAUGGGAUUAGCUAGUAGGUGGGGUAACGGCUCACCUAGGCGACGAUCCCUAGCUGGUCUGAGAGGAUGACCAGCCACACUGGAACUGAGACACGGUCCAGACUCCUACGGGAGGCAGCAGUGGGGAAUAUUGCACAAUGGGCGCAAGCCUGAUGCAGCCAUGCCGCGUGUGUGAAGAAGGCCUUCGGGUUGUAAAGCACUUUCAGCGGGGAGGAAGGCGUUAAGGUUAAUAACCUUGGCGAUUGACGUUACCCGCAGAAGAAGCACCGGCUAACUCCGUGCCAGCAGCCGCGGUAAUACGGAGGGUGCAAGCGUUAAUCGGAAUUACUGGGCGUAAAGCGCACGCAGGCGGUCUGUCAAGUCGGAUGUGAAAUCCCCGGGCUCAACCUGGGAACUGCAUUCGAAACUGGCAGGCUAGAGUCUUGUAGAGGGGGGUAGAAUUCCAGGUGUAGCGGUGAAAUGCGUAGAGAUCUGGAGGAAUACCGGUGGCGAAGGCGGCCCCCUGGACAAAGACUGACGCUCAGGUGCGAAAGCGUGGGGAGCAAACAGGAUUAGAUACCCUGGUAGUCCACGCCGUAAACGAUGUCGAUUUGGAGGUUGUGCCCUUGAGGCGUGGCUUCCGGAGCUAACGCGUUAAAUCGACCGCCUGGGGAGUACGGCCGCAAGGUUAAAACUCAAAUGAAUUGACGGGGGCCCGCACAAGCGGUGGAGCAUGUGGUUUAAUUCGAUGCAACGCGAAGAACCUUACCUGGUCUUGACAUCCACAGAACUUAGCAGAGAUGCUUUGGUGCCUUCGGGAACUGUGAGACAGGUGCUGCAUGGCUGUCGUCAGCUCGUGUUGUGAAAUGUUGGGUUAAGUCCCGCAACGAGCGCAACCCUUAUCCUUUGUUGCCAGCGGUUAGGCCGGGAACUCAAAGGAGACUGCCAGUGAUAAACUGGAGGAAGGUGGGGAUGACGUCAAGUCAUCAUGGCCCUACGACCGGCUACACGUGCUACAAUGGCAUAUACAAAGAGAAGCGACCUCGCGAGAGCAAGCGGACCUCAUAAAGUAUGUCGUAGUCCGGAUUGGAGUCUGCAACUCGACUCCAUGAAGUCGGAAUCGCUAGUAAUCGUAGAUCAGAAUGCUACGGUGAAUACGUUCCCGGGCCUUGUACACACCGCCCGUCACACCAUGGGAGUGGGUUGCAAAAGAAGUAGGUAGCUUAACCUUCGGGAGGGCGCUUACCACUUUGUGAUUCAUGACUGGGGUGAAGUCGUAACAAGGUAACCGUAGGGGAACCUGCGGUUGAUCACCUCCUU
RNAcentral lists this ribosomal RNA (1530 nucleotides) under Klebsiella pneumoniae. Its description in RNAcentral is "bacterial SSU rRNA". It matches the Rfam family "Bacterial small subunit ribosomal RNA". Lineage: Bacteria; Pseudomonadati; Pseudomonadota; Gammaproteobacteria; Enterobacterales; Enterobacteriaceae. The record is from RNAcentral.